AUUAAUAAGUCAGUGGUGAAAUCCCAUCGCUUAACGAUGGAACUGCCAUUGAUACUGUUAGUCUUGAAUGAGGGUGCAGUGGUUGGAAUGUGUAGUGUAGCGGUGAAAUGUCAUAGAUAUUACACAGAACACCGAUUGCGAAGGCAGAUCACUAACCCUAAAUUGACGCUGACGGGACGAAAGCGUGGGGAGCGAACAGGAUUAGAUACCCUGGUAG
This 217-nucleotide ribosomal RNA is filed under the name uncultured bacterium. Its description in RNAcentral is "partial 16S ribosomal RNA". It matches the Rfam family "Bacterial small subunit ribosomal RNA", at positions 579 to 793 of the family's 1533-position model. The record is from RNAcentral.